This is a long non-coding RNA of Pseudophryne corroboree (corroboree frog), 1049 nucleotides long. RefSeq lists it as uncharacterized. The record is from RefSeq and is a predicted model, not a curated record. Lineage: Eukaryota; Metazoa; Chordata; Amphibia; Anura; Myobatrachidae. The transcript has 3 exons.
AGUACGAAAGAGACACAGCACAGCCAGGCCACAAUCCAUACUGCCAAGAGAUGCAGAUGCUGGCGAUGCAGGUCCUUCUUCAUCAAACACCCCUCCACUAAGACGACCAUCACAGGGCUCAGAUAGUCUCCAUAAGAUGGGUACCAAGAGACGCCGUGUUGAGGCGGAAUAUCCACCGCAUCCUCCCCACCACAACGGCACAGCUCUACAGUGUCGUCCCAGCCACCACAAGCCAUUUUGGUCAGUCCACAAAGCGAGGAACCACAAUCCCCUCAGCUGUCUGAACCACCCAUCAUGCCCGAGGAUACCCAGCAGGAAACUGACUUGCAGGAAUCGUACACACUACACCUGCAAGCGAAUGAUCCAAACCAGCCAACCACGCCGCAGGACAUAACCCAACCACGCCAAACAUCCCACAGCCCCCAAUUGAGCCCAACACCACCCCAGCCACAAAUGGGCCCAGAGUUUUGGUCCAGUUGGGCCACACAACAGGCGCAACACUAUGCCUGUCUGAACACCCACAGCCAAUACCUUGCCAGUCUGCCCCAUCAUCUGUCUAGACUCAGUCGGAACUCAGGCAGACUGAUAGUUCAAGUUGGCAGAGUAGCAAAUUCUAUGGAGCAGAUGAGGGCAGACAACAGCCAAAUGUACGCAAAUUUACAAAGAAUCAUGGAUGACCAACAGUGGCAGCAACAAGCCCUCAUACAAAUUAUACAACAUAACCAAUUAAUAAAUGAAAGCCUCUUCCAAAUCAUUGCCAAUAACACUGCCGCAGCUACACAACUCACAGCAAGCCUCAACAACCUGAGCCAAAGCCUAAAUGUGUUGGCAUCACACCAACUAAGCUCAAGCUCAGGAACAACCACACCAAGCCAGACCCCAGUUACCUCCCCAGUAAGACAAACCAGCAGAAUCAGGACCAAUGAACCAUCCCAAACCUCUGCACCCAGCAAACAAAAAACAAAGAAAUGAUCAAGGCUGCAGCAACAACUACAGUAUGUUAUUUGAAAAUUACAAAUUAUCUAAUUGAUUCACUCAAAAUGCCCGAG